UUUUCUGAUGAUUUUCUUAAAUCUAAUAACUUUCGUUCUACCGAAUUACAUCAAACGAUGUUGAGGAGACUUAUUUUUCUGAUA
Molecule: small nucleolar RNA, 84 nt
Filed under: Scheffersomyces stipitis CBS 6054
Lineage: Eukaryota; Fungi; Ascomycota; Pichiomycetes; Serinales; Debaryomycetaceae
Description: Small nucleolar RNA snR54
Rfam family: Small nucleolar RNA snR54
About the family: snR54 is a member of the C/D class of snoRNA which contain the C (UGAUGA) and D (CUGA) box motifs.
Source: Rfam by way of RNAcentral